UCUAUCCCUUUAAAUCCCAAAUGGCAGUAUUUCUACCAGUAUCGAGUUUUUGAAAACCCUAUAGAUGUCCUGUGUAUGUUAAAAGGAAUUCAGUCCAGAAGAAAAGGGGCUUAUCCAUUGAUUCUCCCUAAAUAAUUCCAUUUCUAUUUGGGAGGUAUGAGGGAAUUUAUGAGUCAGAUACUUGAUUUCUUCAAAGAGCCUUUGUGUGACUGAAUACUCUGAUUUUUAAAAUCUUUCUUAAGUAUUAGUGAAAGGUUGACCAGCCAUAUACUUGGCUUUUUCUCGACAGCAUGCUUUCUUGGUAGUAAAGCCGUCCAUGUUUAUACCCUUCAGAGACUUGAUGAGCCAAGAAUUUCCCAAUCAUCAAGCCCUGGUUGCUUUUUGUUUGAGAAUUCUUUCUUCAAUUUAUUUCUUCUUACAUUUUGCUGUCGGCGGCAGGAAGUAGCCAGAAUACCUCUUCAACACUUGGAAAUCUCCUCAGGAGCACACCAGUGA
This 495-nucleotide long non-coding RNA is filed under the name Mustela putorius furo (domestic ferret). RNAcentral describes it as "lncRNA (ENSMPUG00000031271.1)". The record is from RNAcentral. Lineage: Eukaryota; Metazoa; Chordata; Mammalia; Carnivora; Mustelidae.